GGGCGUAAAGGGUGCGUAGGCGGUCUAGUAAGUUAGUGGUCUAAACUCAAUGCUCAACGUUGUCCGGCUAUUGAAACUGCUAAGCUAGAGUUAGAUAGAGGCGAGUGGAAUUCCAUGUGUAGCGGUAAAAUGCGUAAAUAUAUGGAGGAACACCAGAGGCGUAGGCGGCUCGCUGGGUCUUAACUGACGCUGAGGCACGAAAGCGUGGGGAGCAAACAGGAUUAGAUACCCUGGUAGUCCACGCCGUAAACGAUGAGUACUAAGUGUCGGGUUAAACCGGUACUGAAGUUAACACAUUAAGUACUCCGCCUGAGUAGUACGUACGCAAGUAUGAAACUUAAAGGAAUUGACGGGACUCGCACAAGCGGUGGAUCAUGUUGUUUAAUUCGAAGAUACCCGAAAAACCUUACCAGGUCUUGACAUGUUUUUGCGAAACGGUAGUAAUAUCGUGGAGGUUAUCAGAAACACAGGUGGUGCAUGGUUGUCGUCAGCUCGUGUCGUGAGAUGUUAGGUUAAGUCCUAAAACGAGGCGCAACCCUUAUCGUUAGUUGCCAGCACGUUAUGGUGGGGACUUUAACGAGACUGCCAGUGAUAAAUUGGUGGAAGGUGAGGAUCACGUCAAAUCAGCAUGCCCCUUAUGACCUGGGCUACAAACGUGAUACAAUGGCUGUUACAAAGGGUAGCUGAAACGCAAGUUCUUGGCCAAUCCCCAAAAAGCAGUCUCAGUCCGGAUUGAAGUCUGCAACUCGACUUCAUGAAGUUGGAAUCGCUAGUAAUCGCGAAUCAGCAUG
RNAcentral lists this ribosomal RNA (791 nucleotides) under Candidatus Phytoplasma citri. RNAcentral describes it as "bacterial SSU rRNA". It matches the Rfam family "Bacterial small subunit ribosomal RNA", at positions 556 to 1356 of the family's 1533-position model. Lineage: Bacteria; Bacillati; Mycoplasmatota; Mollicutes; Acholeplasmatales; Acholeplasmataceae. The record is from RNAcentral.